RNAcentral lists this ribosomal RNA (925 nucleotides) under Pseudocercospora chengtuensis. RNAcentral's name for it is "LSU rRNA". It matches the Rfam family "Eukaryotic large subunit ribosomal RNA", at positions 31 to 979 of the family's 3401-position model. The record is from RNAcentral. Lineage: Eukaryota; Fungi; Ascomycota; Dothideomycetes; Mycosphaerellales; Mycosphaerellaceae.
GAUUUAAGCAUAUCCAAUAAGCGGAGGAAAAGAAACCCAACAGGGAUUGCCCUAGUAACGGCGAGUGAAGCGGCAACAGCUCAAAUUUGAAAUCUGGCGUAAGCCCGAGUUGUAAUUUGUAGAGGAUGCUUCUGGGUAGCGGCCGGUCUAAGUUCCUUGGAACAGGACGUCAUAGAGGGUGAGAAUCCCGUAUGUGACUGGCUUGCACCCUCCACGUAGCUCCUUCGACGAGUCGAGUUGUUUGGGAAUGCAGCUCUAAAUGGGAGGUAAAUUUCUUCUAAAGCUAAAUACCGGCCAGAGACCGAUAGCGCACAAGUAGAGUGAUCGAAAGAUGAAAAGCACUUUGGAAAGAGAGUUAAAAAGCACGUGAAAUUGUUGAAAGGGAAGCGCCCGCAACCAGACUUUGCGGCGGUGUUCGGCUGGUCUUCUGACCGGUUUACUCGCCGCCGUGAGGCCAUCAUCGUCUGGGACCGCUGGAUAAGACCUGAGGAAUGUAGCUCCCUUCGGGGUGUGUUAUAGCCUCUGGUGAUGCAGCGCGUCUCGGGCGAGGUCCGCGCUUCGGCAAGGAUGAUGGCGUAAUGGUUGUCGGCGGCCCGUCUUGAAACACGGACCAAGGAGUCUAACAUCUAUGCGAGUGUUCGGGUGUCAAACCCCUACGCGUAAUGAAAGUGAACGGAGGUGGGAACUUUUUGUGCACCAUCGACCGAUCCUGAUGUCCUCGGAUGGAUUUGAGUAAGAGCAUAGCUGUUGGGACCCGAAAGAUGGUGAACUAUGCCUGAAUAGGGUGAAGCCAGAGGAAACUCUGGUGGAGGCUCGCAGCGGUUCUGACGUGCAAAUCGAUCGUCAAAUUUGGGUAUAGGGGGCGAAAGACUAAUCGAACUGAUCUAGUAGCUGGUUUCCUGCCGAAAGUUCCCCCUUCAAGGAA